UUAAAGUUAGCAGCACUGUAUCUAAAUUUACUAAUCUCAGUAUGACUUGAAAUAGCAAAGAUGUUUAAAGUGACACGUAGAGAAUGUAUACAUACGUACUAGUGCGUGUGUACUUUGUUAAAAUGGGUUUGAAAUGGACUGUUACCUUGGCAUACAUUCUUUAAAAAUUUUAACUGGUUGAGAUUAAGUGGAAUCCCACUGACAUCCUGUGUGAGAGUGGUGGUUCCUGAUGGUCUGGAUUGGUGUGUAGUGGCCCCUUUCAUAGGGAGAGUGUGUCCUAUCCCACGUGGUCGCCAAUAACCACCUGAAUGCUGUUUGUUGUUUCCACAUAAGUGGGCUGAUCACCUGGGCACCUUGACCUCUUGUCUUCUCUCAUUUCCCCACAUCCAGUGUUGUGAAGGCCUCCCCUCCUCUUCCCCCCCAAGGUGUGCAUUGCCUUUGAAAGGCUAGCAGGUAAGACCCUCGGGGAUGAUCAUAUAUUAAUAAAAAUUGCAAAAGUAAAGUGUUUGUCCUGUUAGGUCAGUGUUAUUCUUGAAUGGUUUUAAUUACUAAUUUUCAGAAU
Molecule: long non-coding RNA, 562 nt
Filed under: Bos taurus (domestic cattle)
Lineage: Eukaryota; Metazoa; Chordata; Mammalia; Artiodactyla; Bovidae
Description: long non-coding RNA NONBTAT006019
Source: RNAcentral